RNAcentral lists this ribosomal RNA (495 nucleotides) under uncultured bacterium. RNAcentral's name for it is "partial 16S ribosomal RNA". It matches the Rfam family "Bacterial small subunit ribosomal RNA", at positions 28 to 505 of the family's 1533-position model. The record is from RNAcentral.
GAUGAACGCUGGCGGCGUGCCUAAUACAUGCGAGUCGAGCGAACAGACGAGGAGCUUGCUCCUCUGACGUUAGCGGCGGACGGGUGAGUAACACGUGGAUAACCUACCUAUAAGACUGGGAUAACUUCGGGAAACCGGAGCUAAUACCGGAUAACAUGUUGAACCGCAUGGUUCAACAGUGAAAGACGGUCUUGCUGUCACUUAUAGAUGGAUCCGCGCCGCAUUAGCUAGUUGGUAAGGUAACGGCUUACCAAGGCAACGAUGCGUAGCCGACCUGAGAGGGUGAUCGGCCACACUGGAACUGAGACACGGUCCAGACUCCUACGGGAGGCAGCAGUAGGGAAUCUUCCGCAAUGGGCGAAAGCCUGACGGAGCAACGCCGCGUGAGUGAAGAAGGUCUUCGGAUCGUAAAACUCUGUUAUUAGGGAAGAACAAAUGUGUAAGUAACUAUGCACGUCUUGACGGUACCUAAUCAGAAAGCCACGGCUAACUACG